CUACGGGUUGCAGCAGUGAGGAAUAUUGCACAAUGGGGGGAACCCUGAUGCAGCAACGCCGCGUGGAGGAUGACGCAUUUCGGUGUGUAAACUCCUUUUAUAUGUCAAGAAAAUGACGGUAGCAUAUGAAUAAGCACCGGCUAACUCCGUGCCAGCAGCCGCGGUAAUACGGAGGGUGCAAGCGUUACUCGGAAUCACUGGGCGUAAAGGACGCGUAGGCGGGCUGGUAAGUCAGGUGUGAAAUCCUACAGCUUAACUGUAGAACUGCACUUGAAACUACGAGCCUAGAGUAUGGGAGGGGGAGAUGGAAUUAGUGGUGUAGGGGUAAAAUCCGUAGAUAUCACUAGGAAUACCUAAAGCGAAGGCGAUCUCCUGGAACAUAACUGACGCUAAGGCGUGAAAGCGUGGGGAGCAAACAGGAUUAGAUACCCUCGUAGUC
This 439-nucleotide ribosomal RNA is filed under the name uncultured bacterium. Its description in RNAcentral is "partial 16S ribosomal RNA". It matches the Rfam family "Bacterial small subunit ribosomal RNA", at positions 339 to 795 of the family's 1533-position model. The record is from RNAcentral.